UGGCGGACGGGUGAGUAACGCGUGGGUAACCUGCCUCAUACAGGGGGAUAACAGUUGGAAACGACUGCUAAUACCGCAUAAGCACACAGUACCGCAUGGUACGGUGUGAAAAACUCCGGUGGUAUGAGAUGGACCCGCGUCUGAUUAGCCAGUUGGCGGGGUAACGGCCCACCAAAGCGACGAUCAGUAGCCGACCUGAGAGGGUGACCGGCCACAUUGGGACUGAGACACGGCCCAAACUCCUACGGAAGGCAGCAG
Molecule: ribosomal RNA, 258 nt
Filed under: uncultured bacterium
Lineage: Bacteria
Description: partial 16S ribosomal RNA
Rfam family: Bacterial small subunit ribosomal RNA
Source: RNAcentral